RNAcentral lists this microRNA (21 nucleotides) under Homo sapiens (human). RNAcentral describes it as "hsa-miR-887-5p". Its record names the gene hsa-miR-887-5p. Lineage: Eukaryota; Metazoa; Chordata; Mammalia; Primates; Hominidae. The record is from miRBase by way of RNAcentral.
CUUGGGAGCCCUGUUAGACUC